RNAcentral lists this ribosomal RNA (323 nucleotides) under uncultured eukaryote. RNAcentral describes it as "partial 18S ribosomal RNA". It matches the Rfam family "Eukaryotic small subunit ribosomal RNA", at positions 1470 to 1796 of the family's 1831-position model. The record is from RNAcentral.
CCCUUAGAUGUUCUGGGCUGCACGCGUGCUACACUGAUAUUGCCAAUAUGUCAUUCUUAUCCGAAAUGGAUUGGGUAAUCAAGUAAUGAAAUUUCAUGCUUGGAAUCGGUAAUUGCAAUUUUAUCGUGAACGAGGAAUUCCUAGUAAGCACUAGUCAUCAGCUAAUGUUGAUUAUGUCCCUGCCCUUUGUACACACCGCCCGUCGCUACUACUGAUUGGGUGUUCAAGUGAGAUGCUUAGACCCUUGUUGCAUGGUUCAUUAUUAUGCUCCGAAAGGAAAAAGUUUCAAGCUUGAGUGUCUAGAGGAAGUAAAAGUCGUAACA